RNAcentral lists this long non-coding RNA (233 nucleotides) under Brassica napus (rape). Its description in RNAcentral is "long non-coding RNA (BNAP_LNC009752)". Lineage: Eukaryota; Viridiplantae; Streptophyta; Magnoliopsida; Brassicales; Brassicaceae. The record is from RNAcentral.
UGAUGUGGGAUGAUACAAAUGGUGCUAAGCACCCCUAUUUAUACAAGUGAAGGAGCAAACUCUAAUAUGUUCUAGAUUUCUCUAAAUUAUUAUCUUAUUUCAAAAUAUCUAACAUUAAUUAUUCUACUCCAUAACUUUCUCUCUUCUUCUCCAUAAUUCUAGAUAAUUUUUCAUCCUUGUGCUCUUCUUUUGGGCUCUUAAUAUGGAUCAUGAUUUUUGGGUUUUAGGCUAAU